This is a long non-coding RNA of Cygnus atratus (black swan), 2350 nucleotides long. RefSeq lists it as uncharacterized. Lineage: Eukaryota; Metazoa; Chordata; Aves; Anseriformes; Anatidae. The transcript has 3 exons. The record is from RefSeq and is a predicted model, not a curated record.
AUUUCUGUCUGUGAUCACCUCCCCCUCAGUAUCUUUGGAGCAUUUCUCACUCCAUGCCUCACAUCUGCCUGACUCUUUCCCAAGCUAGCAAGGAAACAUCACAUCUGUUCUCAUGCUGAAGACUUUCCCACAGUGGGCAGACUGGCUGGAUCCUUCUCUUCUGCUCAGACCCCAAUUUCUCCAAGACACCCCAACAGCACAGAGAAACCUCUGCAAAUACUGAAUUUGGCUGAUGGGCUCAAAUGUUUUUAAGGGAGGUCUGCGAGGUAAACAAUCCUACAAUUAUGUAACUUUCAUUUGUGUAGGAAACUAGGCUGAAAAAUAAUUAGAAGCCUGAUUAGAAGAAAUGAUUAAUCAGGAAAGAUGAUCACCAUGGUAUUUGUUAUUAUGAGGCUGGGUGGAGAAUGGAUUGAGAGCAGGCCUGAGAAGGAUUUGAGGGUGCUGGCUGAUGAAAAACUCAACAUGAGCAAAGUGUGCCUGGAGCCCAGAACGGCUUUGAUACUGAGUACCUGAGGAUUCAUGUUGGGAUGAAUAAAGUGUGGCGGGUAAGAAUAAAGAGAAUGUGACUGAUUUCAGAUAAAAAGCAGACAAGAACUGGGCAUUUUAAAGGUUGUUCCUUGCUGUCUUUGCUGAGAAGUGCCUAAAUGUUAUGGAACAGAAAGAAGAGACUGAAGAACCAGCUGCACAGUGGAGACGAUUUUAUUACAGCUUCCCUUAACGUAUUUGCAAUUGGCCAGAAAAGGGGCACGCAGACUCCUGGGUCAGAUGGAGCUGAGCAUCACCAUGUUUGAUUUGGAGGAGAAGAGGAAGCAGGGAGCACAGACACGAACAGCCUGAACUGGCAAAGAAGGGGAACCCAGUUAUCAGGAGAGGGAGGAACUGGAAGGGAAUUACAGAGCUCAUGGCAUGGAAAUGCAAAGAAUGAAAAGCGCAUGCUGUUCCUCCACUGAGGGAGAAAGAUCCUUCAAAAAGGGCAAGUGUAACAAUGAGGGCAUGUUUGGGAAUUUUAAUCUUAUAAAUAAUGUUUUUUAUCAACAAUCAGGCUAACAAAAUUUUUGCAUGCUCGAAAAUAACACAGGUUUUACAUAAUCACAACCCACAUCUGCAUUUUUCCUCUUUGAAAUAUCUUUAAGACUGUUAUUCUCCCUGAUUUUAGCAAACUUUUUUUUUUUUUUUUUUUUAGAGGAAGUUUUAGGAUGUUUAUCUUUCUUCUUUAAUUUCAAACUCAAACACUUAGCAAUAGAAGGGAAUAUCUUGACACCAUUGCUUAUAGGAAUUGUCCACAUGUGCUUCUGCCUUUUCAGUUCUAUUGAACAUUAAUUCAUCUGGGUAAAAGUGAUAGAAGCCUUUGUUUUAAAUUAUAUUCUUUCUCUCAGCUGAAUGUUGUACUCUCUCUACCAAUGACUGAUAACUGCGCACUUUAAGAAGUUGUUUAAAAAUAUGCAUACCAUUACAGGUGGUUUCUUAAGUCACUUAUGUUUAAUUAAAGAUAUUUGAACACAGAGGCCUGGAUUCAGGUAACCUACUUGAGGUGCCUGAGUUAGGAUUGUAGCUGCAGUACGUUCCCUUUCUAAUUACUGGAGAAAUAGGCACCACCAGGAGUAAUUCAGUCUGCUUCAGCACCUGGAUUCCCUGCACAGCCUGAAUUGCUUUCUGGAGAUACCUAUCUUUGCACUGACUGAUGGAUGAAAGCAAAAGCAAUCAUAAUUGUGACUGUGCUGCCUCAAUGUGGCAUGAAUCCAGAUCACUGUGACCAAGACUUUUAGAUUGCUAAUUACAUUCUGAGUAUCUAGUUUUGCUGUCUUGGAGGAGGCUGACUUUCUUUGCUUUCAGCUUCUUUCAGAAUAUCCCAAAUUGGGCAUUGGUCAUUAUGGAAAACUUGGCUUAUGCUUUUACCCAUGACACUUUUUGAAUCCUGAGUCCCUUUAAACAGAUAGAGACAACACUUAUAGAUGGCUGCGCAAUAAAUGAGAGAAUAAUGCUCUCCUCCAUCAUGGAGGCAGGUUACAAAGAGAUGUCAAGUCACCACCAGACCCCUGUUCUGGACAUCUCUAUUUUGUUGCUUGGCUCUAGCAUAUGACAAUAGUCAAUGCUACUUUUUAAUCCACCCGAAAAAAAGCAAACUACAGCAGUCAGCACUAAAAGCACUGUGUUGGUGACUGUCUGCCAUGUGACAGUCAGAACUGUUCAUGCCCUGAUUCAUGCUGGUGGCCUUCUAUGGUCUUCUUUACUACCUGUAGCAGCCCCAAAGGACUUUUGUCUGUUUUAUGAAAGCUUUCCGUCCUGAGACACAAGUACACCCUGGCACGAUACAGGUUGCUGCACCAUUUCUCCUGUAUUUAUCCAGACC